CGGAUGCACCUACGCCUGCGCCCUGAGGUCGGGCGCUCGCGGGCCAGGAGCGGGGAGCCGGCGGGCAGCGCCGCGGCUCGUGAGGUGAUGGCGGCGGCCCCGGCCCGGGGAGGCGGAGGCGGCGGCGGCUGCUCCGGCUCCGGCUCCAGCGCCUCGCGGGGUUUCUAUUUCAACACGGUCCUGUCACUGGCCCGCUCCCUGGCGGUGCAGAGACCAGCAUCCUUGGAGAAGGUCCAAAAGCUUCUUUGCAUGUGUCCAGUGGAUUUCCAUGGGAUCUUCCAGUUAGAUGAAAGACGGAGAGAUGCAGUGAUUGCAUUGGGCAUUUUUCUGAUUGAAUCUGAUCUUCAGCACAAAGAUUGUGUGGUUCCUUACCUUCUUCGACUUCUCAAAGGUCUUCCAAAAGUGUAUUGGGUAGAAGAAAGCACAGCUCGGAAAGGCAGAGGUGCCCUCCCGGUUGCAGAGAGCUUCAGCUUCUGCUUGGUAACUCUGCUGUCUGAUGUGGCCUAUAGGGAUCCUUCACUUAGGGAUGAGAUUUUAGAGGUGCUUUUGCAGGUUUUGCAUGUCCUCUUGGGGAUGUGCCAGGCCUUGGAGAUUCAAGACAAAGAAUACCUUUGCAAGUAUGCUAUCCCAUGCCUGAUAGGAAUCUCGCGAGCAUUUGGGCGUUACAGCAACAUGGAAGAGUCUCUCCUCUCAAAGCUCUUUCCCAAAAUCCCUCCUCAUUCCCUCCGUGUCCCGGAAGAGCUUGAAGGUGUUCGAAGGCGUUCCUUUAAUGACUUCCGCUCCAUCCUCCCCAGCAAUCUGCUGACUGUCUGUCAGGAGGGUACCCUGAAGAGGAAAACCAGCAGUGUGUCCAGCAUCUCUCAGGUCAGCCCUGAACGCGGCAUGCCCCCUCCCAGUUCCCCUGGAGGAUCUGCCUUUCACUACUUUGAAGCCUCCUGCUUGCCCGAUGGGACUGCCCUAGAGCCUGAGUACUACUUUUCAACCAUCAGCUCCAGCUUCUCAGUCUCUCCCCUUUUCAACGGUGUCACAUAUAAGGAGUUUAACAUUCCAUUGGAAAUGCUUCGGGAACUCUUAAACCUGGUGAAGAAGAUCGUUGAGGAGGCUGUUCUCAAAUCUUUGGAUGCCAUUGUAGCCAGUGUGAUGGAGGCCAACCCCAGUGCUGAUCUCUACUACACUUCCUUCAGUGACCCCCUCUACCUGACCAUGUUCAAGAUGCUGCGUGACACUCUGUACUACAUGAAGGACCUCCCGACCUCUUUUGUGAAGGAGAUCCAUGAUUUUGUGCUGGAGCAGUUCAACACGAGCCAGGGGGAGCUCCAGAAGAUUCUACAUGACGCAGACCGGAUCCACAAUGAGCUGAGCCCCCUCAAACUGCGCUGUCAGGCGAAUGCUGCCUGUGUGGACCUCAUGGUGUGGGCUGUGAAGGACGAGCAGGGUGCAGAAAACCUUUGCAUCAAGCUAUCUGAGAAGCUGCAGUCCAAGACGUCCAGCAAAGUCAUUAUUGCUCACUUGCCCCUGCUGAUCUGCUGUCUGCAGGGUUUGGGCCGCCUGUGCGAGAGGUUCCCGGUGGUGGUGCACUCUGUGACACCGUCCUUGCGAGACUUCCUGGUCAUCCCGUCCCCAGUUCUGGUGAAGCUCUACAAGUACCACAGUCAGUACCACACAGUUGCUGGCAAUGAUAUAAAAAUCAGUGUGACCAAUGAGCAUUCCGAGUCAACCCUGAACGUCAUGUCGGGUAAGAAGAGCCAGCCCUCCAUGUACGAGCAGCUCCGAGACAUCGCUAUUGACAACAUCUGCAGGUGCCUGAAGGCUGGAUUGACGGUGGACCCAGUGAUUGUGGAGGCGUUCUUGGCCAGCCUGUCCAACCGGCUCUACAUCUCUCAGGAGAGCGACAAGGACGCUCACUUGAUUCCCGACCACACAAUCCGAGCCUUGGGACACAUUGCGGUGGCCUUGAGGGACACCCCAAAGGUCAUGGAGCCCAUUCUGCAGAUCCUGCAGCAGAAAUUCUGCCAGCCACCCUCCCCCCUCGAUGUGCUGAUUAUUGACCAGCUGGGCUGCCUGGUUAUCACCGGAAAUCAAUACAUCUAUCAGGAAGUGUGGAACCUCUUCCAGCAGAUCAGUGUGAAGGCCAGCUCCGUUGUAUACUCAGCCACCAAAGAUUACAAGGACCACGGCUAUAGGUAACUGGACCUCAUUGUCACUUUUUUAUCAUGACAGUAUUUAACUUACUUUAAAAAUGUGAGGUUUGUGAAUUUUUCUCUUAAAUAAACUCUUCUUGCAAGAAAA
RNAcentral lists this small RNA (2289 nucleotides) under Pan troglodytes (chimpanzee). RNAcentral describes it as "retained intron". The record is from RNAcentral. Lineage: Eukaryota; Metazoa; Chordata; Mammalia; Primates; Hominidae.